Mangifera indica (mango) is the source of this 1431-nucleotide long non-coding RNA. RefSeq lists it as uncharacterized. The transcript is spliced from 2 exons. Lineage: Eukaryota; Viridiplantae; Streptophyta; Magnoliopsida; Sapindales; Anacardiaceae. The record is from RefSeq and is a predicted model, not a curated record.
CGGAAAUCCUAGGUAUUCAUAGGUUUUUUUUCUGGAAUCUCUAGGGUUUGAUCACUGUUUUACCAACUUUUCAGCAAUUUUUUGGUUGAAUGAUUUCAGCCCACGUAGCAAACUAACAGAUAAACGAAGGAACUACGCAUACGUAGAUGCCUACACAAAAAUAUACAUGUAAAUCUUUGCGUACGUAUUCACAUUUGAAGGAAAAAAUGUACCAGAUUUGAUGUUUUUGAAGGCUGAAAAGCAGACUUGUGAACAGGGGCUUGGAUGCAAGUACAGUUCAUGGUUACAAUAUUAUGGUUAAAUAUAAUAUAAUUAUAUAAAAAAUCUGCAUUAUGCAAAGGAAGUGAUGGGCUCUACAUAAUGCGAGGAACUGGUGGGGGAUUCUACCUGGGAACAAGAAAAGAAAUUAGCCAAGCAGGGAAGAAUAUAUGAAUAACUCUCUUUUAUUUAGUUUAUUGUGAGGAAUAUUAAAAAAAAAAUUUUGUGUCUGAUCUCUGUCUUUCUUUUAGCUAUAUAAAGUCAUUCCUCCCACUCACAGAUCCAUGGGAUGCUUGUUUAAGCUGCUGAUACUGGAAGCUCCCCGCUUCAUCUUCUUGUUGACUCCUUUUCUGAGAUCUUAAAGAAAAGCUUUUCUUUGCACCUCUUUCUUUCUCUCUUUCCUUCUACCAGCUUUCAUCGUUUGGACUAGUGUCCAUGUAUAUCUCCUUAUUUCAGUUUAGUGCUUUUCAAUUCUUCUGCUACUUUGACUGUGCAGGAAGUGGAAGAAGAGAGUUUAUUUCCAUGGGGUUCUUUAGGGUUUCAUGGGACAUAUGUGCGUGUUAUUUUUGUUUACACGUGAUACUGCAUAGAUCUGUGCAUCAAUCUUGCAAAUAAGCAAAGAUCACUAAACCAGGGCCUAAAACUUUGAAGGUGCAGGGAGGUUUUAGGGUUUCAUUUCAUCAACGGCAAGCAAGGCCAGCCGCAGUUGUUAUUCUCUCAACAAGGCAGCGCAUGAGGGAAGAUGAAGUUGGCAAGCAAGCAAGCUCACGCUCAACGACAACACCGUCUUGGGUCUUGCUCUCUUGCUGUAACAAGUUCCUAGACAUGUCUCUCAGUCUGUAUACAAUUACCGAAAUAUCCUCGCCAUCUGUGCUUGCAAAGUAUCCCUAAUUCUAAAUCUUCUUCUCUCCUUCUUCUACCUUUAACUUCUUUUCCUUCUUAAUUAUGGGUUUCCAUAAAUCUGCUUUGCUUUGAUGAUUAUCAUAAAAUUCUCUUCUCGGUUUUCUGUAUGACCUUGAGAAGUUUAGAUUAUGCUUCUUUGUUCGAGCUUGGAAAUUAAGAUUAAGCUUGCAUAUAUACUUCUUUUCUAAGUGUCACUGUAAUUAAUUUGUACCAAGAUUUAUAAACUACUUUGCCUAAGCAAGCUUAAGAAAGCUAAAAGGCAUUUGGCAA